RNAcentral lists this long non-coding RNA (453 nucleotides) under Gossypium barbadense (sea-island cotton). Its description in RNAcentral is "long non-coding RNA (GBAR_LNC021774)". Lineage: Eukaryota; Viridiplantae; Streptophyta; Magnoliopsida; Malvales; Malvaceae. The record is from RNAcentral.
AUCUGCCUCAUGCAUUCCGCAAUGAUGGUUAGAUGGCUAGUUCAACAUGCUAACACCAUCUUACACGGGAUCCCCGCCUAUAAAUACCUCCAAGAACGAUGGAGAAGGGAUUGAUUCUCAAGUAUACAAAGCCUAUUCUCUAUCAACUUACUUUGAGUACUUAGUCCUUGCGUUCUCUCCACCUUCACUCCUUAUAACCUCCAGCUCUCUGCCUCGACUGGAUGAACCGACCACCGUAACCACUACCUCGUCUUCCUCCUAGUUCUUUCCUCGUUGUAUCACUAAAUCAACAAUAUUCAUUUAGCCAACUGUAGCAACAACAAAAAAAAUCAAACAAAUAAAGAAUGAAACUUGGUGGGAUUAAAUGUAAAAGUUAAAGUUUUUCAAACAAAUAUGUCUUGUAUUUAAAAUAUUACAAUGAGACAGAUAAAUAUGUGAUAUUAUUUAAUGACC